RNAcentral lists this ribosomal RNA (253 nucleotides) under uncultured bacterium. RNAcentral's name for it is "partial 16S ribosomal RNA". It matches the Rfam family "Bacterial small subunit ribosomal RNA", at positions 524 to 776 of the family's 1533-position model. The record is from RNAcentral.
UACGUAGGGGGCAAGCGUUGUCCGGAAUCAUUGGGCGUAAAGAGCGUGUAGGCGGCCCGGUAAGUCCGCUGUGAAAGUCCAGGGCUCAACCCUGGGAUGCCGGUGGAUACUGUCGGGCUCGAGUCCGGAAGAGGAGUGUGGAAUUCCUGGUGUAGCGGUGAAAUGCGCAGAUAUCAGGAGGAACACCAGUGGCGAAGGCGGCACUCUGGGCCAGUACUGACACUGAGGAGCGAAAGCGUGGGGAGCGAACAGG